Molecule: ribosomal RNA, 490 nt
Filed under: Hyperolius tuberilinguis (tinker reed frog)
Lineage: Eukaryota; Metazoa; Chordata; Amphibia; Anura; Hyperoliidae
Description: partial large subunit ribosomal RNA
Rfam family: Bacterial large subunit ribosomal RNA
Source: RNAcentral
AGGUAGCAUAAUCAAUUGUCCCUUAAAUUAGGACUAGUAUGAAUGGCACCACGAGGGUUUAACUGUCUCCCCCUUUUAAUCAAUGAAAUUAGUCUUCCCGUGAAGAAACGGGAAUAAAGAUAUAAGACGAGAAGACCCCAUGGAGCUUCAAACUUAUUAAUACUUAUUUCUUAUUGUAACAUAUUAAUUAAAUAUACUACAUUUAAUAGUUUUCGGUUGGGGAAACCCUGGAGAAAAAUUUAUCCUCCAGAUUGAAAGAACUAAUAAUACUUAUAUUAGAAUUACAAUUCAAAUAAACAAAAACUUGACAAAACUGACCCAGUAAUUAACUGAUCAAUGAACCAAGUUACCCUGGGGAUAACAGCGCAAUCCAUUUCAAGAGUCCUUAUCGACAAAUGGGUUUACGACCUCGAUGUUGGAUCGGGAUACCCUAGCGGCGCAGCCGUUGCUAAUGGUUCGUUUGUUCAACGAUUAAAACCCCACGUGAUCU